CUGAAGCAUUUGAAAUGGUUUGUUGCUGCCUUGAAAAAGGAUUUUGCACCCAUUCAAUCUUCUAUUUAACCACCUGUGCACUUUUCGUAGACUGCGAGUAAUCUCUCACUGAAAAAUGUGGAUUUGAGAGCUAGUGCAAGCUUGCUUUCUAUCAUUUGCAGUCUAUGUUUUUAUUUUAAUACGCUAUUGAAAUAUAAAUGAAUGUUGAUUAUGGGUUGUAUAACCUAUAUAAUUAAAUA
RNAcentral lists this unclassified non-coding RNA (239 nucleotides) under uncultured fungus. RNAcentral's name for it is "sequence contains ITS1, 5.8S rRNA gene". Lineage: Eukaryota; Fungi. The record is from RNAcentral.